UACAGAGGGUGCGAGCGUUGUCCGGAAUCACUGGGCGUAAAGGGCGCGUAGGUGGCGUCGCAAGUCGAUGGUGAAAGCUCGUCGCUCAACGACGAGUUGGCCAUUGAUACUGCGAGGCUCGAGCACUGUAGAGGCAGAUGGAAUUCCGGGUGUAGCGGUGGAAUGCGUAGAGAUCCGGAAGAACACCGGUGGCGAAGGCGGUCUGCUGGGCAGUAGCUGACACUGAGGCGCGACAGCGUGGGGAGCAAACAGG
RNAcentral lists this ribosomal RNA (253 nucleotides) under uncultured bacterium. RNAcentral's name for it is "partial 16S ribosomal RNA". It matches the Rfam family "Bacterial small subunit ribosomal RNA", at positions 524 to 776 of the family's 1533-position model. The record is from RNAcentral.